Molecule: non-coding RNA, 31 nt
Filed under: Mus musculus (house mouse)
Lineage: Eukaryota; Metazoa; Chordata; Mammalia; Rodentia; Muridae
Source: RNAcentral
UGUCAGUUACAUUCCUGCAAAGGAGUUCUCA